This 205-nucleotide long non-coding RNA is filed under the name Nicotiana benthamiana. RNAcentral describes it as "long non-coding RNA (NBEN_LNC027989)". The record is from RNAcentral. Lineage: Eukaryota; Viridiplantae; Streptophyta; Magnoliopsida; Solanales; Solanaceae.
UCAGAUGCCUUUGAAUGUCAUGCACAGGAAAUUUUAGUUAUGUCCUAGUGUGCGGACAGAAUAUAUUUGAGACCUUAGGUAUUAAACCGAUAAACCGCCCAGUAACCGCCCGAUAAGAGCUAAUCCGAUACCAAUCCGCCCGAUAUCUUAUCGGGUGGCUAACGGAUGAAUACAUUUAAAAGCCGAUAACCGUUAAGCCAAACCG